This 519-nucleotide ribosomal RNA is filed under the name uncultured delta proteobacterium Sva0010b. RNAcentral describes it as "bacterial SSU rRNA". It matches the Rfam family "Bacterial small subunit ribosomal RNA", at positions 983 to 1498 of the family's 1533-position model. The record is from RNAcentral. Lineage: Bacteria; Deltaproteobacteria.
GACAUCCCGGGAAGCUCUAUNRAAGUAGAGCGUGCCUCUUUGAGGAACCUGGUGACAGGUGCUGCAUGGCUGUCGUCAGCUCGUGUCGUAAGAUGUUGGGUUAAGUCCCGCAACGAGCGCAACCCUUGUCGUUAGUUGCCAUCAUUUAGUUGGGCACUCUAACGAGACUGCCGGUGUCAAACCGGAGGAAGGUGGGGAUGACGUCAAGUCCUCAUGGCCUUUAUGAUCAGGGCUACACACGUACUACAAUGGCCGGUACAAAGGGCAGCCACAGGGCGACCUGGAGCUAAUCUCGUAAAGCCGGUCUCAGUCCGGAUUGGAGUCUGCAACUCGACUCCAUGAAGUUGGAAUCGCUAGUAAUCGUAGAUCAGCAUGCUACGGUGAAUACGUUCCCGGGCCUUGUACACACCGCCCGUCACACCACGGGAGUUGGUUGUACCAGAAGUAGUUGAGCGAACUAUUCGUAGGCGCAGGCUACCAAGGUAUGAUUGGUAACUGGGGUGAAGUCGUAACAAGGUA